RNAcentral lists this long non-coding RNA (931 nucleotides) under Homo sapiens (human). RNAcentral's name for it is "HSALNT0100760". Lineage: Eukaryota; Metazoa; Chordata; Mammalia; Primates; Hominidae. The record is from RNAcentral.
UGUGUGAGUCAGCUGGCUCUAGUGUAAAGCAUGUGACCUGGGUCUAAGCCAAUCAGCAUCUCAUAAGCCUCCUGCCAUGACUGGUUCAGGGAUAGGCCCUUAGUCCAAUCAGAGACCAUGAAAUGCAAUGAGGCUUUGCCUAGAAAUGCUGAGCUAAAGAUCUUCACUUUCUAUGCAGGUUUUGAAGCCAGGAGCCCCUCUUCUUGAGAUCUAUUGGCAACCAUCUUGUGAAGGAAGAGCCCAUUGUGUAGGAGGCAGAUGCUGGAGAAAAAGAGACAACAGGGCCGGGUUUUAUCAUUUGAGACUUGAGUAAAGUCAUACCGGAAGUCACACCCAGUCUACCCUGGGAAGCUUGGUUACAAGGGCCAGUAAAUUCCCUUUUCUUUUCUUUUCUUUUCUUUUUUUUCUUUUUUUUUUUUAAGAGAUGGGGGUCUUACUCUGUUUCCCAGGUUACUCUCGAACUCCUGGCCUGAAGCCCCCUGUCUCUGCCUCCCAAAGUUCUGGGAUUACAGGCUUGAGCUACUGUGCCUGACUAAAUUCCCUUUUUGAUUAAGCCUGUUUAGAUUAGGUUUCUUGUCAACCUGCAACUGAAAGAAUUAUCGCCAAUACAAGGUACAAAGUCCUGAAAGGUAAGCUCUUUGAAGCACAAGAAAAGCAGGAACCCUCAGUCUUCUUUAUAAAGGAGAUGUCCUCAUGAGAGAGACACGGGCCACUGGCAACUUGAAUUCAUCUGGAAUAUUCAUAAGCUUCUAGAAAUGGCAAAGAAAAUGGUUUAUUUGAUUGGCCAAAGAAGGACUCUCCUGAUGAUGUAAUAAUUUCAUCUCCUUGCUUCCUUGGCUGUAUUGCAGAUUUGACAAAGUAUUAAAAUGGCACAUUGUAAAAAAUCUUUAUAUUACGUAAGCAUAAAGUGUUCUGCAAAAAUCAGAAAGAA